RNAcentral lists this ribosomal RNA (469 nucleotides) under uncultured Ralstonia sp. RNAcentral describes it as "bacterial SSU rRNA". It matches the Rfam family "Bacterial small subunit ribosomal RNA", at positions 337 to 798 of the family's 1533-position model. The record is from RNAcentral. Lineage: Bacteria; Pseudomonadati; Pseudomonadota; Betaproteobacteria; Burkholderiales; Burkholderiaceae.
UCCUACGGGGGGCAGCAGUGGGGAAUUUUGGACAAUGGGCGAAAGCCUGAUCCAGCAAUGCCGCGUGUGUGAAGAAGGCCUUCGGGUUGUAAAGCACUUUUGUCCGGAAAGAAAUCCCUUGGGAUAAUACCUCGGGGGGAUGACGGUACCGGAAGAAUAAGGACCGGCUAACUACGUGCCAGCAGCCGCGGUAAUACGUAGGGUCCGAGCGUUAAUCGGAAUUACUGGGCGUAAAGCGUGCGCAGGCGGUUUUGUAAGACAGAUGUGAAAUCCCCGGGCUUAACCUGGGAAUUGCAUUUGUGACUGCAAGGCUAGAGUGUGUCAGAGGGGGGUAGAAUUCCACGUGUAGCAGUGAAAUGCGUAGAGAUGUGGAGGAAUACCGAUGGCGAAGGCAGCCCCCUGGGAUAACACUGACGCUCAUGCACGAAAGCGUGGGGAGCAAACAGGAUUAGAUACCCGGGUAGUCGAC